This 76-nucleotide transfer RNA is filed under the name Bacillota bacterium. RNAcentral's name for it is "Firmicutes bacterium (gut metagenome) tRNA-Asn". It matches the Rfam family "tRNA". From Rfam's summary of the family: Transfer RNA (tRNA) molecules are approximately 80 nucleotides in length. The record is from RNAcentral. RNAcentral also lists the same sequence under 2 other names. Lineage: Bacteria; Bacillati; Bacillota.
UCCUCGGUAGCUCAGUCGGUAGAGCACGCGGCUGUUAACCGCGCUGUCGUAGGUUCAAGUCCUAUCCGAGGAGCCA